This 2768-nucleotide ribosomal RNA is filed under the name Staphylococcus aureus. RNAcentral describes it as "23S ribosomal RNA". It matches the Rfam family "Bacterial large subunit ribosomal RNA". The record is from RNAcentral. Lineage: Bacteria; Bacillati; Bacillota; Bacilli; Caryophanales; Staphylococcaceae.
UUAAGUUAUUAAGGGCGCACGGUGGAUGCCUUGGCACUAGAAGCCGAUGAAGGACGUUACUAACGACGAUAUGCUUUGGGGAGCUGUAAGUAAGCUUUGAUCCAGAGAUUUCCGAAUGGGGAAACCCANUCGAUUCCCUUAGUAGCGGCGAGCGAAACGGGAAGAGCCCAAACCAACAAGCUUGCUUGUUGGGGUUGUAGGACACUCUAUACGGAGUUACAAAGGACGACAUUAGACGAAUCAUCUGGAAAGAUGAAUCAAAGAAGGUAAUAAUCCUGUAGUCGAAAAUGUUGUCUCUCUUGAGUGGAUCCUGAGUACGACGGAGCACGUGAAAUUCCGUCGGAAUCUGGGAGGACCAUCUCCUAAGGCUAAAUACUCUCUAGUGACCGAUAGUGAACCAGUACCGUGAGGGAAAGGUGAAAAGCACCCCGGAAGGGGAGUGAAAUAGAACCUGAAACCGUGUGCUUACAAGUAGUCAGAGCCCGUUAAUGGGUGAUGGCGUGCCUUUUGUAGAAUGAACCGGCGAGUUACGAUUUGAUGCAAGGUUAAGCAGUAAAUGUGGAGCCGUAGCGAAAGCGAGUCUGAAUAGGGCGUUUAGUAUUUGGUCGUAGACCCGAAACCAGGUGAUCUACCCUUGGUCAGGUUGAAGUUCAGGUAACACUGAAUGGAGGACCGAACCGACUUACGUUGAAAAGUGAGCGGAUGAACUGAGGGUAGCGGAGAAAUUCCAAUCGAACCUGGAGAUAGCUGGUUCUCUCCGAAAUAGCUUUAGGGCUAGCCUCAAGUGAUGAUUAUUGGAGGUAGAGCACUGUUUGGACGAGGGGCCCCUCUCGGGUUACCGAAUUCAGACAAACUCCGAAUGCCAAUUAAUUUAACUUGGGAGUCAGAACAUGGGUGAUAAGGUCCGUGUUCGAAAGGGAAACAGCCCAGACCACCAGCUAAGGUCCCAAAAUAUAUGUUAAGUGGAAAAGGAUGUGGCGUUGCCCAGACAACUAGGAUGUUGGCUUAGAAGCAGCCAUCAUUUAAAGAGUGCGUAAUAGCUCACUAGUCGAGUGACACUGCGCCGAAAAUGUACCGGGGCUAAACAUAUUACCGAAGCUGUGGAUUGUCCUUUGGACAAUGGUAGGAGAGCGUUCUAAGGGCGUUGAAGCAUGAUCGUAAGGACAUGUGGAGCGCUUAGAAGUGAGAAUGCCGGUGUGAGUAGCGAAAGACGGGUGAGAAUCCCGUCCACCGAUUGACUAAGGUUUCCAGAGGAAGGCUCGUCCGCUCUGGGUUAGUCGGGUCCUAAGCUGAGGCCGACAGGCGUAGGCGAUGGAUAACAGGUUGAUAUUCCUGUACCACCUAUAAUCGUUUUAAUCGAUGGGGGGACGCAGUAGGAUAGGCGAAGCGUGCGAUUGGAUUGCACGUCUAAGCAGUAAGGCUGAGUAUUAGGCAAAUCCGGUACUCGUUAAGGCUGAGCUGUGAUGGGGAGAAGACAUUGUGUCUUCGAGUCGUUGAUUUCACACUGCCGAGAAAAGCCUCUAGAUAGAAAAUAGGUGCCCGUACCGCAAACCGACACAGGUAGUCAAGAUGAGAAUUCUAAGGUGAGCGAGCGAACUCUCGUUAAGGAACUCGGCAAAAUGACCCCGUAACUUCGGGAGAAGGGGUGCUCUUUAGGGUUAACGCCCAGAAGAGCCGCAGUGAAUAGGCCCAAGCGACUGUUUAUCAAAAACACAGGUCUCUGCUAAACCGUAAGGUGAUGUAUAGGGGCUGACGCCUGCCCGGUGCUGGAAGGUUAAGAGGAGUGGUUAGCUUCUGCGAAGCUACGAAUCGAAGCCCCAGUAAACGGCGGCCGUAACUAUAACGGUCCUAAGGUAGCGAAAUUCCUUGUCGGGUAAGUUCCGACCCGCACGAAAGGCGUAACGAUUUGGGCACUGUCUCAACGAGAGACUCGGUGAAAUCAUAGUACCUGUGAAGAUGCAGGUUACCCGCGACAGGACGGAAAGACCCCGUGGAGCUUUACUGUAGCCUGAUAUUGAAAUUCGGCACAGCUUGUACAGGAUAGGUAGGAGCCUUUGAAACGUGAGCGCUAGCUUACGUGGAGGCGCUGGUGGGAUACAGUGUCAGGCGGGCAGUUUGACUGGGGCGGUCGCCUCCUAAAAGGUAACGGAGGCGCUCAAAGGUUCCCUCAGAAUGGUUGGAAAUCAUUCAUAGAGUGUAAAGGCAUAAGGGAGCUUGACUGCGAGACCUACAAGUCGAGCAGGGUCGAAAGACGGACUUAGUGAUCCGGUGGUUCCGCAUGGAAGGGCCAUCGCUCAACGGAUAAAAGCUACCCCGGGGAUAACAGGCUUAUCUCCCCCAAGAGUUCACAUCGACGGGGAGGUUUGGCACCUCGAUGUCGGCUCAUCGCAUCCUGGGGCUGUAGUCGGUCCCAAGGGUUGGGCUGUUCGCCCAUUAAAGCGGUACGCGAGCUGGGUUCAGAACGUCGUGAGACAGUUCGGUCCCUAUCCGUCGUGGGCGUAGGAAAUUUGAGAGGAGCUGUCCUUAGUACGAGAGGACCGGGAUGGACAUACCUCUGGUGUACCAGUUGUCGUGCCAACGGCAUAGCUGGGUAGCUAUGUGUGGACGGGAUAAGUGCUGAAAGCAUCUAAGCAUGAAGCCCCCCUCAAGAUGAGAUUUCCCAACUUCGGUUAUAAGAUCCCUCAAAGAUGAUGAGGUUAAUAGGUUCGAGGUGGAAGCAUGGUGACAUGUGGAGCUGACGAAUACUAAUCGAUCGAAGACUUAAUCAA